Long non-coding RNA from Glycine soja, 849 nucleotides. RefSeq lists it as uncharacterized. The record is from RefSeq and is a predicted model, not a curated record. NCBI's taxonomy places the organism in Eukaryota, Viridiplantae, Streptophyta, Magnoliopsida, Fabales, Fabaceae. The transcript has 4 exons.
UAGUAUGUGUAGAUUCUGUAUAUGGAUUGGUCCUCAUUCGGUUCUCAUUCCUGUAUAGUUUAUGUCAUCUACUCAAACACUGUUUAUAUCAUUGAUUUAUUUGUAUUGCUGCUAUAUUUUUCUUCUUCUUCUUUAUUCAUUUUGAUAUAUAGGUUCUGCACAUUCUUCCAUGUUUUAGUUGGAUAUAUUGGUUAUGCACGGUUUCUUUCACGUUAGAGGAUGGCUGAUGGAAUCCAUAAAGAUCUUUGUUGCUUUGCGUCUCGGGUAUCUCUGAGCCUUAUACGAGAACAUAUACAACAUAUACAGUAAGAUAUAAUAGAUGCUACCAACAUAUGUAAGAUUUCAAAGGAGACAAUAAGGUUGCCACUUCUUUUUUCUAUCUAUCCCACCUUGACUGAUUUCGGUAACGGAUCCAAAAGCUUUGAGAUUAGGAUUUGAUGUGAAUUUGAUAGCUAUUGCAUUGCAAGCAAUUUUUGGUGUAUCCCUUCGAAUUAUUGUUCAUAUAUGGGUCAUGAGCAAGAAGGGCCCUCUCUAUGUUGCAAUGUUUAAGCCAAUUGGAAUCAUCUUUGCAGUCAUCAUGGGAAUUGGCUUUCUUGGUGGCUCUAUCUAUCUUGGAAGUGUGCUUGGAGCAGCCAUAGCGGUUAUUGGUUUUUAUGCUGUUAUUUGGGGGAAAAGCCAAGAGCAAGCAAAGGAAGAGUGUGAAGUCUAUGAUGACUCAGAAUCAUACUCGCCGUUGUCCCUCUUUUGGAGAACAAGAGAAUGGAGGAAUAGAAUCAUAGAAAUCAUUUAAUUUCUCUAGCUUCAAUAUAAAUGUCUCAUGUAAUAUUUUGAAAACAGAUUGCAUUAAUA